AGAGGCUGCGUGGAGAGAGGGCAACCAGCAACUUGGUGCCACCCUAGAGAGCGCUGCCCGGGCCGCCUUCCUUCCUGCCCGCAGCCCUGGGAGGUACGUACUACUGGCCCCCUUUCAACGGCUGGGAAAACUGAGACCCAGAAAGGGGAAGGGACUUGCUCAGAGUCAUACUGUGAAUGUGGACGAGGACCAGCUCUCAACUCCAAGGUGCAGCCACCCACGUCUUAACCAGAGCAGGAAGGCGUCAGUAACCUCGGUGGCCCAACCUCAGAACCUGACUCUGCUGUCAAGGGGGAAGAUAAUCCCAAACCCCGACAAGUAGCUGGAGAAUCAUAACUGACCUCCAACCAAGUGUGACUUUGGGCAAAGCGCUAACACUCUGAGCCUCAGUUUCAACGUCUAUUAAAUGGGGAUAAUUGUAGUUCCGCCUUUUAGGGAAUCCCUGAGAGGAUGAACCUCAGAAGGCAUUUAGCAGAAAGCCUGGCUGAUUUUGCCAUGCCUCCUUAUUAAAUGGGAUGCGCUAUAAUGGAUGGGGAAAA
Molecule: long non-coding RNA, 539 nt
Filed under: Homo sapiens (human)
Lineage: Eukaryota; Metazoa; Chordata; Mammalia; Primates; Hominidae
Description: HSALNT0363331
Source: RNAcentral